This 554-nucleotide ribosomal RNA is filed under the name Colletotrichum acutatum. RNAcentral describes it as "eukaryotic LSU rRNA". The stretch from base 192 to 345 matches the Rfam family "5.8S ribosomal RNA". The record is from RNAcentral. Lineage: Eukaryota; Fungi; Ascomycota; Sordariomycetes; Glomerellales; Glomerellaceae.
AGGGACAUUACUGAGUUACCGCUCUACAACCCUUUGUGAACAUACCUAACCGUUGCUUCGGCGGGCAGGGGAAGCCUCUCGCGGGCCUCCCCUCCCGGCGCCGGCCCCACCACGGGGACGGGGCGCCCGCCGGAGGAAACCAAACUCUAUUUACACGACGUCUCUUCUGAGUGGCACAAGCAAAUAAUUAAAACUUUUAACAACGGAUCUCUUGGUUCUGGCAUCGAUGAAGAACGCAGCGAAAUGCGAUAAGUAAUGUGAAUUGCAGAAUUCAGUGAAUCAUCGAAUCUUUGAACGCACAUUGCGCUCGCCAGCAUUCUGGCGAGCAUGCCUGUUCGAGCGUCAUUUCAACCCUCAAGCACCGCUUGGUUUUGGGGCCCCACGGCAGACGUGGGCCCUUAAAGGUAGUGGCGGACCCUCCCGGAGCCUCCUUUGCGUAGUAACUAACGUCUCGCACUGGGAUCCGGAGGGACUCUUGCCGUAAAACCCCCAAAUUCUUUACAGGUUGACCUCGGAUCAGGUAGGAAUACCCGCUGAACUUAAGCAUAUCAAUA